GACAGACCCAGAAUUCCCCAAUCACGACGCGUCGAGGAGUGCGCGCCCUUCAUCGUUUCCAGGCUGGAGAGCGAUCGGUCGAUACAAGUGGUUGUGACCUCGUCAAUCUCGACCCCAACAGCGAACGAGACGUUAGAAAACGUGGGCGACGUUUGAGGAAAGUUGUCCGUCUGUAAUCCCAAAAGGCAAAUCUCGACCCGGGGCAAACGCCUGACAGAGACGUUGAUGUUGAUUUUAUAACUAAUCGUCGAUGCUAUCGUGAUAAAAAUUAUUUGAUAAAAAAUGACAAUUACGAUGUUCGCUGUUGAAUGUGAUGUUAAAUAUAGGCAGUCACUGUUUCACUCUAUAAUAUUAUACACAAAAAAUUGAUAAUGAAUUUUUUCCAACCCGCUUAUA
RNAcentral lists this unclassified non-coding RNA (396 nucleotides) under Athalia rosae (coleseed sawfly). Its description in RNAcentral is "misc RNA ENSAEAG00005003680.1". The record is from RNAcentral. Lineage: Eukaryota; Metazoa; Arthropoda; Insecta; Hymenoptera; Athaliidae.